GUAGGGAGCAAGCGUUGUCCGGAAUUAUUGGGGGGCGUAAAGAGCGCGUAGGGUGGGUCAGGGUAAGUCAUUUGUUUAAUCCGUAAGCUUAACUUACGUUCAGCAAGUGAAACUAUCUGACUUGAGUAUAGGAGAGGAAAGUGGAAUUCCCAGUGUAGCGGUGAAAUGCGUAGAUAUUGGGAAGAACACCGGUGGCGAAGGCGACUUUCUGGACUAAUACUGACACUGAGGCGCGAAAGCCAGGGGAGCGAACGGGAUUAGAUACCCCGGUAGUCCUGGCCGUAAACGGUGAACACUAGGUGUAGGGGGGUUCGACCCUUUCUGUGCCGAAGCUAACGCAUUAAGUGUUCCGCCUGGGGAGUACGCUCGCAAGGGUG
Molecule: ribosomal RNA, 377 nt
Filed under: uncultured organism
Description: partial 16S ribosomal RNA
Rfam family: Bacterial small subunit ribosomal RNA
Source: RNAcentral